Molecule: long non-coding RNA, 509 nt
Filed under: Helianthus annuus (common sunflower)
Lineage: Eukaryota; Viridiplantae; Streptophyta; Magnoliopsida; Asterales; Asteraceae
Source: RNAcentral
GUAAUAACAAAAACUAAAAAACACACAUCUGGGUGUGUUGGAGUUCGACGACCAGAAAGGAAGAAAGGGGGUAAACCCUAGUUGAUCAAAAAUCCAGCAAUUGAUAAGGGAUUUCAAGGUUUAGUUGAUGCAUGAAGCUCAAUUCUCGACCAUCUAACCUUUCUUAACAAACGGUAAGUCGAAUUUUGAGAUUUGGUGAUUAUGAAGAAAGUGGGGAUAAAGGAGGAGAGUUCGAGUCGCACAAAGAAAGAAGGAAAUCAAGAUCGAGGCGACUUGGCAAUUUGGAGCGAGCAUAUGCACACCUUAUGGUUAUCAAGCGCUUCCGCUAUUACGUAUUAAUGUUUUGGGUCAAACGCUCGUUUUUGUGUAACAUCGUUAGUGGUUACACUUUUUAACACUUGAUGUAUGGUUCUUAGUCGUGUCUAGUUGAACGGGUUGUAAACUUGGUUGUUUUGUUGAUGGUUAAAACAGGGAUAUGCUCGUCUUAUGGAUGGGUCAUGCCCAAAUUU